This 61-nucleotide transfer RNA is filed under the name Portunion sinensis. RNAcentral's name for it is "tRNA-Asn". RNAcentral also lists the same sequence under 1 other name. The record is from RNAcentral. Lineage: Eukaryota; Metazoa; Arthropoda; Malacostraca; Isopoda; Entoniscidae.
UAGAGAGAAGCCAAAAAGAGGCAAGUCUUUGUUAAGGAUGUGAGUGGGAGACCCUCUCUAA